This 497-nucleotide ribosomal RNA is filed under the name uncultured bacterium. RNAcentral describes it as "partial 16S ribosomal RNA". It matches the Rfam family "Bacterial small subunit ribosomal RNA", at positions 28 to 507 of the family's 1533-position model. The record is from RNAcentral.
GAUGAACGCUGGCGGCGUGCCUAAUACAUGCAAGUCGAGCGAACAGACGAGGAGCUUGCUCCUUUGACGUUAGCGGCGGACGGGUGAGUAACACGUGGAUAACCUACCUAUAAGACUGGGAUAACUUCGGGAAACCGGAGCUAAUACCGGAUAAUAUAUUGAACCGCAUGGUUCAAUAGUGAAAGACGGUUUUGCUGUCACUUAUAGAUGGAUCCGCGCCGCAUUAGCUAGUUGGUAAGGUAACGGCUUACCAAGGCAACGAUGCGUAGCCGACCUGAGAGAGUGAUCGGCCACACUGGAACUGAGACACGGUCCAGACUCCUACGGGAGGCAGCAGUAGGGUAUCUUCCGCAAUGGGCGAAAGCUUGGCGGAGCAACGCCGCGUGAGUGAUGAAGGUGUUCGGAUCGUAAAACUCUGUUAUUAGGGAAGAACAAAUGUGUAAGUAACUGUGCACGUCUUGACGGUACCUAAUCAGAAAGCCACGGCUAACUACGUG